This 558-nucleotide ribosomal RNA is filed under the name uncultured bacterium. RNAcentral describes it as "partial 16S ribosomal RNA". It matches the Rfam family "Bacterial small subunit ribosomal RNA", at positions 355 to 905 of the family's 1533-position model. The record is from RNAcentral.
UGGGGAAUUUUGGACAGUGGGCGAAAGCCUGAUCCAGCAAUGCCGCGUGUGUGAAGAAGGCCUUCGGGUUGUAAAGCACUUUUGUCCGGAAAGAAAUGGCUCUGGUUAAUACCUGGGGUCGAUGACGGUACCGGAAGAAUAAGGACCGGCUAACUACGUGCCAGCAGCCGCGGUAAUACGUAGGGUCCAAGCGUUAAUCGGAAUUACUGGGCGUAAAGCGUGCGCAGGCGGUUGUGCAAGACCGAUGUGAAAUCCCCGAGCUUAACUUGGGAAUUGCAUUGGUGACUGCACGGCUAGAGUGUGUCAGGAGGGGGUAGAAUUCCACGUGUAGCAGUGAAAUGCGUAGAGAUGUGGAGGAAUACCGAUGGCGAAGGCAGCCCCCUGGGAUAACACUGACGCUCAUGCACGAAAGCGUGGGGAGCAAACAGGAUUAGAUACCCUGGUAGUCCACGCCCUAAACGAUGUCAACUAGUUGUUGGGGAUUCAUUUCCUUAGUAACGUAGCUAACGCGUGAAGUUGACCGCCUGGGGAGUACGGUCGCAAGAUUAAAAGCUUAAA